RNAcentral lists this ribosomal RNA (1440 nucleotides) under uncultured organism. Its description in RNAcentral is "SSU rRNA". It matches the Rfam family "Bacterial small subunit ribosomal RNA". The record is from RNAcentral.
CUACAGGCUUAACACAUGCAAGUCGAGGGGCAGCAUGGUCUUAGCUUGCUAAGGCCGAUGGCGACCGGCGCACGGGUGAGUAACGCGUAUCCAACCUGCCUUACACUCUUGGACAGCCUUCUGAAAGGGAGAUUAAUACAAGAUGUUAUCAUGAGUAAGCAUUUUCACAUGAUUAAAGGUUUACCGGUGUAAGAUGGGGAUGCGUUCCAUUAGAUAGUAGGCGGGGUAACGGCCCACCUAGUCUUCGAUGGAUAGGGGUUCUGAGAGGAAGGUCCCCCACAUUGGAACUGAGACACGGUCCAAACUCCUACGGGAGGCAGCAGUGAGGAAUAUUGGUCAAUGGACGAGAGUCUGAACCAGCCAAGUGGCGUGAAGGAUGAAGGUUCUAUGGAUUGUAAACUUCUUUUAUACGGGAAUAAACGAAUCCACGUGUGGAUUUUUGCAUGUACCGUAUGAAUAAGGAUCGGCUAACUCCGUGCCAGCAGCCGCGGUAAUACGGAGGAUCCGAGCGUUAUCCGGAUUUAUUGGGUUUAAAGGGAGCGUAGAUGGGUUGUUAAGUCAGUUGUGAAAGUUUGCGGCUCAACCGUAAAAUUGCAAUUGAUACUGGCAGUCUUGAGUACAGUUGAGGUAGGCGGAAUUCGUGGUGUAGCGGUGAAAUGCUUAGAUAUCACGAAGAACUCCGAUUGCGAAGGCAGCUUACUAACCUGUAACUGACAUUGAUGCUCGAAAGUGUGGGUAUCAAACAGGAUUAGAUACCCUGGUAGUCCACACGGUAAACGAUGAAUACUCGCUGUAGGCGAUAUACAGUCUGCGGCCAAGCGAAAGCAUUAAGUAUUCCACCUGGGGAGUACGCCGGCAACGGUGAAACUCAAAGGAAUUGACGGGGGCCCGCACAAGCGGAGGAACAUGUGGUUUAAUUCGAUGAUACGCGAGGAACCUUACCCGGGCUUAAAUUGCAACCGAAUAUGGCGGAAACGCUAUAGCUAGCAAUAGCGGUUGUGAAGGUGCUGCAUGGUUGUCGUCAGCUCGUGCCGUGAGGUGUCGGCUUAAGUGCCAUAACGAGCGCAACCCUUGCCGAUAGUUACUAACAGGUCAUGCUGAGGACUCUGUCGGGACUGCCAUCGUAAGAUGUGAGGAAGGUGGGGAUGACGUCAAAUCAGCACGGCCCUUACGUCCGGGGCUACACACGUGUUACAAUGGGGGGUACAGAGGGCUGCUACCACGCAAGUGGAUGCCAAUCCCAAAAACCUCUCUCAGUUCGGAUUGAAGUCUGCAACCCGACUUCAUGAAGCUGGAUUCGCUAGUAAUCGCGCAUCAGCCACGGCGCGGUGAAUACGUUCCCGGGCCUUGUACACACCGCCCGUCAAGCCAUGGGAGCCGGGGGUACCUGAAGUGCGUAACCGCAAGGAGCGCCCUAGGGUAAAACUGGUGACUGGGGCU